Molecule: transfer-messenger RNA, 328 nt
Filed under: Alkaliphilus serpentinus
Lineage: Bacteria; Bacillati; Bacillota; Clostridia; Peptostreptococcales; Natronincolaceae
Rfam family: transfer-messenger RNA
About the family: Bacterial tmRNA, also known as 10Sa RNA or SsrA, is named for its dual tRNA and mRNA-like properties. Its role is to liberate the mRNA from a stalled ribosome.
Source: Rfam by way of RNAcentral
ACUGGUUUCGACGGGGGUUUGGAGUCUUUAGUAGCGAGCCAUGUUUCGCUUGGUGACAUGUAAAAAACUGGGCAUUAAAGAUAAACGCAGAUAAUAAUUACGCUUUAGCGGCUUAGUUCUGCUCGUCUCUCCUAGGCCUCCUGCCGCUUAGAUAGAGGCGUCAAAUAUGCAGGGAACGUCUUAAGGGGUGUCUCGACCUUAAGUUGUACAAUUGGGGCUGGCUGAAGCUAAAACCUGUUGUUGGGUGUUAGACAAGGCGAGAAACUAAAACAGCAACUGCGCUCGGAGAAGCUGAAGGUAAAGGGCCUUCGGACAGGGGUUCGAUUCA